RNAcentral lists this ribosomal RNA (253 nucleotides) under uncultured bacterium. RNAcentral's name for it is "partial 16S ribosomal RNA". It matches the Rfam family "Bacterial small subunit ribosomal RNA", at positions 524 to 776 of the family's 1533-position model. The record is from RNAcentral.
UACGUAGGGGGCAAGCGUUGUCCGGAAUCAUUGGGCGUAAAGAGCGUGUAGGCGGCUUGGUAAGUCCGCUGUGAAAGUCCAGGGCUCAACCCUGGAAAGCCGGUGGAAACUGUCAAGCUUGAGUCCGGAAGAGGCGAGUGGAAUUCCUGGUGUAGCGGUGAAAUGCGCAGAUAUCAGGAGGAACACCAAUGGCGAAGGCAGCUCGCUGGGACGGUACUGACGCUGAGACGCGAAAGCGUGGGGAGCAAACAGG